RNAcentral lists this ribosomal RNA (492 nucleotides) under uncultured bacterium. RNAcentral describes it as "partial 16S ribosomal RNA". It matches the Rfam family "Bacterial small subunit ribosomal RNA", at positions 29 to 507 of the family's 1533-position model. The record is from RNAcentral.
AGUGAACGCUGGCGGUAGGCCUAACACAUGCAAGUCGAACGGCAGCACAGUAAGAGCUUGCUCUUACGGGUGGCGAGUGGCGGACGGGUGAGGAAUACAUCGGAAUCUACUUUUUCGUGGGGGAUAACGUAGGGAAACUUACGCUAAUACCGCAUACGACCUACGGGUGAAAGCAGGGGAUCUUCGGACCUUGCGCGAUUGAAUGAGCCGAUGUCGGAUUAGCUAGUUGGCGGGGUAGAGGCCCACCAAGGCGACGAUCCGUAGCUGGUCUGAGAGGAUGAUCAGCCACACUGGAACUGAGACACGGUCCAGACUCCUACGGGAGGCAGCAGUGGGGAAUAUUGGACAAUGGGCGCAAGCCUGAUCCAGCCAUACCGCGUGGGUGAAGAGGGCCUUCGGGUUGUAAAGCCCUUUUGUUGGGAAAGAAAAGCAGCAGGUUAAUACCCCGCUGUUCUGACGGUACCCAAAGAAUAAGCACCGGCUAACUUCGUG